GAUGAAGAACGUAGCGAAAUGCGAUAAGUAAUGUGAAUUGCAGAAUUCAGUGAAUCAUCGAAUCUUUGAACGCACAUUGCGCCCGGCAGCAAUCUGCCGGGCAUGCCUGUCCGAGCGUCAUUACAACCCUCAAGCUCAGCUUGGUGUUGGGCCCCGCCGCCCCGGCGGGCCCUAAAGUCAGUGGCGGUGCCGUCCGGCUCCGAGCGUAGUAAUUCUUCUCGCUCUGGAGGUCCGGUCGUGUGCUCGCCAGCAACCCCCAAUUUUUUUCAGGUUGACCUCGGAUCAGGUAGGGAUACCCGCUGAACUUAAGCAUAUCAAUAAGCGGAGGA
This 329-nucleotide unclassified non-coding RNA is filed under the name soil metagenome. Its description in RNAcentral is "partial contains 5.8S ribosomal RNA, internal transcribed spacer 2, and large subunit ribosomal RNA". The stretch from base 1 to 120 matches the Rfam family "5.8S ribosomal RNA", at positions 35 to 154 of the family's 154-position model. The record is from RNAcentral.